AUGUGAAGCAGUAGCCACUUUGAAAAAACAAUAUGGUAGCUUCUCAAGAUAUCCUACUAGAAUUACCAUAUAACUCAGUAAUUCUGCUCCUGGGUAUAAACCCCAAAGAACAGAAAGAAGGAUCUCAAGGAAAUUAUCAUUAAUCUGUGUUCAUAGCAGCACUAUUCAAAAUAGCCAAAGGUUAGAAGCAAUUCAACUGUUCUUUGACAAACAAAAUGUGGUAUAUAUGUGUAAUGGAAUAUUAUUCAGCCUUAUAAAGGAAGAAAAUUCUCAAGCAUGUUACAUACAGCAUAGAUGAAUCUUGUGGAUAUUAUGUAAAGUAAAAUAAGCCAGUCAUUAAAAACAGAUAUGGUGUGAUUCCACUUAUGUGAGGUACAUAGUUAGGUUCAUAGAGGCAGAAAGUAGAACAGUGAUGGCCAUGAGCUGGGGGAGGGGAGAAUGGGAAAUAGUUUAAUGGGUAAAGGUUUCUGUUUUGUGAGAUGAAAGAGUUCUGGAGAUUGGUUUCACAACAAUAUGAAUAUACUUAAUGCUAUGCUCUACAACUGUACACUAAAAAUAGUUAAGACAGUCAGUCUUAUGUAUAUUUUAUCAUAAUUAAAAAUAAAUAAGCAAAUAAAACUAAUUUAAUGAUCUACUCAUUUAUGAAACCAAUAUUUAUAUUCCAUUCAAUAUACUAGAUCAAGAAUGUCCAGGCCAAGACAGAUGUUUUGGGACACUUUAGUAGGUGCUCAAAAAAUAUUCAUGGAUUUAAAUGAAUGAAUUAAAUAAUGAAUGAAUGACCAUAUAUAUGGUCUCCUUGGAAACUAUUCUAAGCCUGAUUAGUAGUGUUUAUCACGAAUCUGGAGAGACGUAGUAUUUAUUACAUAAAUCCACUGAAACACAAAUGAAAAGUAGCAUAUGCCUCCAAGGACUCAAGAGUUCAGAAGAGGGAAUGAAAAUAGAAAGAAAAAAUUUAUAAUGUAGGCUCAUAUUGUCAUACAUAAAACAAACCCGUAAAGAUGAUCUCCUGUGUUGAGGGGUGGUUAAUUUUAUCAACCACAUCUUACAUUUGUUAUUUUUUUCCAUGUAAUAUGGACUGAUGUGUCUUGAAUAUUGGUUUGCAAUCCUACCUUUGUGGUCCUCUUUUAUUCUUCUUUCUGUGGAAGCUCAAAUAAGCC
This 1157-nucleotide long non-coding RNA is filed under the name Marmota monax (woodchuck). The record is from RNAcentral. Lineage: Eukaryota; Metazoa; Chordata; Mammalia; Rodentia; Sciuridae.